Molecule: ribosomal RNA, 216 nt
Filed under: uncultured bacterium
Lineage: Bacteria
Description: partial 16S ribosomal RNA
Rfam family: Bacterial small subunit ribosomal RNA
Source: RNAcentral
UAGGUGACCUAUCUUUCAGUGAGGAAUACCGGCGAGAAAUCGCCGACAAGACCGCAUACGUUCCUUGGCACAACUGAGGAAGAAAGUCUCGCAAGAGACGCUGGAAGCUGGGCCUGUGGCCGAUUAGCUCGUUGGUGGGGUAAGAGCCUACCAAGGCGACGAUCGGUAGCUGGUCUGAGAGGACGAGCAGCCACACUGGGAUUGAGAACGGCCCAG